CUGGCUAGCAAGCCCUACUAUAUCAUACUAUUAUGUUACAGUUCAUUUACAUCAUUGAAAUUCAUAAUUAUUAUAAAAACAUUCAUAUUGACCAGGAACUGCACUAGCACUGUAGCUAACUAGCUCAUAGAUAAACCUGCAGUUGAGCAUGUGCUGAUACGCUUAUAGUCAAGUAAUCCAGUUUCUACGGUAUGCUUGAUAUGAUUGCAAACGGGUGUUCACAGACGGUGAGUUUCGCUUCAGGACGUCAGCCAUGGUUGGCUGCUUUUCGAAUAUUCAGCCAUUGCGUGCCACUGUUUAUUGGCAACAAUCUGUUGAAACGGUAACGCCAUUUACCAUCUUAUCUCUCAGCAGGGUCUAUCGCUAUCACUUCCAUUUCUGCUUCCGACCGCUUCCGUGUGGAGUCGUCAGAAAGCUGCUGUCACACUGAGCAAGUGUGCAGUAGUCAUUGGCCUUCGAGAGUUCGAGCUGCUUUGACAAGGCGAAUCUAGGAUCCAUUCCACAGACAAUGCGUGUUGCACCACCAGCCCCCCUUCGUCUUCAGUUCGUUUUCAGCCGCCCCCAUUGUUUUCUUCCUGCCAUGAGGCAUGCUUUGCAAACUCGUCACACUCUCCUUUAAAAUGACCUGGUUUUUGGCAUCUGGUUUUUUCUUGUAGGUGUGGGCAAUCAAACCUUCCUCACUCGAUCAAGAAUUUUUCUUCUUCGUUACUAACAUUGUAACUCUCUGGCAAACUUGCUAGAAUAUACACAACACGAUCUUCUUUCUUAAACGAGCAUGUUGGCUUUAUAAGGCGCGGUUAAUGACUUCCGCCUGUUGCGGUACAAAAGGCCCAUGCCCUGGGCAGACCUUUGACCCCAGCUCCAACAUUCAAAUAUCAGUAAACAACUCUCGUUUCUUUUCCCGCUUCAUAGCCCGUUCAAACGAUAUGAACGGCUUUUUAUGUUUUUUUUACACAAGUUUUUACACAAGCAAACAAAACACAUAGCACAUAAUGGCUGAACAAGCAUACCACAGAAGGCCAUUACAUAAAAUGUACAUCUAUAGGUACGGUACAGCCAGCAUCUUCCAGUGCACUUUCUGGAGGAGUUCCAGAAGUUGCUUGCGCUGUUCCCUGACCUCACUCUUGCCAUCCGAAGGUAACACUGGAAAGUAUUCUAGUUCAAUAAUUAUCACGUGAUAUGGAUGACGAUCACUUAUUUUUUGCACAGGAGCAAGGACGGUUGGGGUCCUUCGAGGCCUAAGAAAGGUCCCGGAGGGUAUGAUCCUCCGGUCUUGAACGGAGAGGGUCCCUGUCACAAGGAAUAUGGUGAAGCGCUUCAAACUAUACCGCAAGUAUUGGACGGAUUAUAAAGUGACCAAAACCAGUGCACAUGACAAGGGGAUGCCUGACUGAGUUUGGUACUGCUUCAGUGAGCUCGUCAACCUGCAGAACAGCGCUCGGUGAUCAUGUUGACGAGGGGACGUACCUUACCUAUGCGAUCGCUACCGGGUGUGCCAGGAGUUGGGAGAGUGGUGUUAUUAAUAGGACACACUCUAGGUCAUCUUUAAUUAUUGUUCAACACUUGCACAUGCAUGGCCUCCUUUAGAAUGAUAAAUUCUGUCUCUGAGUUGGGCAAUGUUCGUUCUGAGAUAGUGCUCGGUUUGGCUUGUAUAACCUUUUGUAGUUUUUUCUUCAAUGAAGUUAAUUGGUGAGAUUCCAAUGAUGCUGGACACCGGACAUCAUUACUAACGGUGGUUAAUAGACUCUGAGCAUCAGGUGUUGAACCAGGAGCUGAACCUAACAGCUCCUAAG
Long non-coding RNA from Halichondria panicea, 1793 nucleotides. RefSeq lists it as uncharacterized. NCBI's taxonomy places the organism in Eukaryota, Metazoa, Porifera, Demospongiae, Suberitida, Halichondriidae. The record is from RefSeq and is a predicted model, not a curated record. The transcript has 3 exons.